UGGCGAACGGGUGAGUGACACGUGAGUAACCUGCCCUUGACUUUGGGAUAACUUCAGGAAACUGGGGCUAAUACCGGAUAGGAGCUCCUGCUGCAUGGUGGGGGUUGGAAAGUUUCGGCGGUUGGGGAUGGACUCGCGGCUUAUCAGCUUGUUGGUGGGGUAGUGGCUUACCAAGGCUUUGACGGGUAGCCGGCCUGAGAGGGUGACCGGCCACAUUGGGACUGAGAUACGGCCCAG
This 237-nucleotide ribosomal RNA is filed under the name uncultured Actinomycetales bacterium. Its description in RNAcentral is "partial 16S ribosomal RNA". It matches the Rfam family "Bacterial small subunit ribosomal RNA", at positions 96 to 334 of the family's 1533-position model. The record is from RNAcentral. Lineage: Bacteria; Bacillati; Actinomycetota; Actinomycetes; Actinomycetales.